RNAcentral lists this ribosomal RNA (496 nucleotides) under uncultured bacterium. RNAcentral describes it as "partial 16S ribosomal RNA". It matches the Rfam family "Bacterial small subunit ribosomal RNA", at positions 29 to 507 of the family's 1533-position model. The record is from RNAcentral.
AUGAACGCUGGCGGCGUGCCUAAUACAUUCAAGUCGAGCGAACAGACGAGGAGCUUGCUCCUCUGACGUUAGCGGCGGACGGGUGAGUAACACGUGGAUAACCUACCUAUAAGACUGGGAUAACUUCGGGAAACCGGAGCUAAUACCGGAUAAUAUAUUGAACCGCAUGGUUCAAUAGUGAAAGACGGUUUUGCUGUCACUUAUAGAUGGAUCCGCGCCGCAUUAGCUAGUUGGUAAGGUAACGGCUUACCAAGGCAACGAUGCGUAGCCGACCUGACAGGGUGAUCGGCCACACUGGAACUGAGACACGGUCCAGACUCCUACGGGAGGCAGCAGUAGGGAAUCUUCCGCAAUGGGCGAAAGCCUGACGGAGCAACGCCGCGUGAGUGAUGAAGGUCUUCGGAUCGUAAAACUCUGUUAUUAGGGAAGAACAAAUGUGUAAGUAACUAUGCACGUCUUGACGGUACCUAAUCAGAAAGCCACGGCUAACUACGUG